UUCAAAGUUCAUAUCUAAAUGCAAUAGAAAUAAGACGAAGAGGCUAGAAUCAAAUCUAGCUACAUCUAACGUUCACUCGCUCCCAGCCCCGCCCUGCGAAUCGGUCUCAGUAUCUGGGUAAGCAACCAUAUACCACAUUAGUCGGAUUAAGCAUACAAAUAAAUAAGUACACAAAUUAAUUUAAGCGACAGGUUUUUAAUUUGCAAAAUUUUAGAAAAUAAGAAUUUAUCAAAACUUAAAAUUAAUAUCGGAUUGAAACUAUAAUUUUACAAAGCGUUUUUCUUUCAACACAUAAACAAAGUAAACAUUAAGUCCCCGGUACUUAACUAUAUCGUAUGAUCCGUUGGUGAGAUCCAAAGACACCCGAAGGCAUAAACAAAACAGAGGCACCCGAAGGUGCAACAAAACAAAGGCGCGGAUAAGCGCAGGCACCCGAAGGCGCAAACAAAACAGAGGCGCGGAUAGGCACAGGCACCCGAAGGCGCAAUACAAAGACGAAGCUUGCUUCUAUAACAAAAUACAUGUCGACAUGGCCAACAUAGCAUAGCAGAAUACCAGGAGACAUCAUAAUUCAAAAAUUAUCCAGUCACUAAUUUACAAAACAGAAAACAGAUUAUCAAAUUUCAAAAAGUUUAUUUUGCUAAAAGGAUCUGUCAAUCACAGUUGAAGCUCAAUUUACAGAAAUAUUUAAUAAUAUGCUUAACCCUUAAUUUUAAAAUCUACAAAAUAAGAUUUUCAUUCAAUCGGAAUAUUUUUNGUCGCUUACCUUAACGCGGCUUCAAAGAUGAAAUUUAUCCAGUCAAAACUGUGCAGAAAAUCGAUCGUCCGAACCUAAAAUAGAGACACGCAAUUCUCUAUAAGCUAUCUAAAAUGAACAUGCAAGGAUAAUAUAAUGGCAUGCAAAUAGGUCGGGAUGGAGCACAAGGGAUUUGGAACAAUAAAUUCAACGAACCUCAAAUAGCGAUCAAAAGGAUGAAGGAGUUUUUGAAGGAUUUGGAUUAUUCCAAGAAGAUAACAUGAACGGAAAUUUAUUAGUAAACGAAAGAUCUAAUGCUCGAAAAGAGGUUUUAUCACAUAUAUAAAACAAAUUUUACAAUUUACAAUCGAAUGAGAUCAAAAUUAGAAACAAAACGAAAUUCGCCCUCUCUUAGGCAUUUCAUCGAACAUAUAAUGGGCAUUCCAAAAAUGUGUAAAAUGUGUGAAGUUUAUACAACUAGAUUUUAUGGAGGAUGAGAGAUAUAAAAUUUGACAGUUCAAACGGCAAGAACAGAUCACAAUGAAUCAGAUUUCUAAUGGUUUAAUCCCAAACAUUAAAAUAUAGGUAUUCAAAAUAACCAUACAACAAUGAAUAAAGAAUCAGAUCUUAUCAAGAAUAAAUAUAAGGAAAUAAAAGAAAAGACCUUGAAGGCGGAAAGACGAUGACGAAUCAAAUUAUCGGUGGAUGAGGAUUGCUGUGGAGGCGGCUACGGGUGGUGGCGACGACGGCUAUGAUCGGAGGGCGUCACGCACGGACGGGCGAACAGUGGAGGCCGUACGGACGUGGAGAGGAGAGGGAUCGAGCGGGAGAGAGAGAUGGUCGAAUGAGGGAGAGAGAUAGA
RNAcentral lists this long non-coding RNA (1598 nucleotides) under Ananas comosus (pineapple). Its description in RNAcentral is "long non-coding RNA (ACOM_LNC034444)". The record is from RNAcentral. Lineage: Eukaryota; Viridiplantae; Streptophyta; Magnoliopsida; Poales; Bromeliaceae.